Molecule: long non-coding RNA, 596 nt
Organism: Myxocyprinus asiaticus (Chinese sucker)
Lineage: Eukaryota; Metazoa; Chordata; Actinopteri; Cypriniformes; Catostomidae
Exons: 3
Source: RefSeq, a predicted model, not a curated record
GUCAUUUGUUUGGGAAUCAGGACUACACUGGUCACACUGUCUGAUUCUGAUUCACUAUAAAGAACCGGGUCUAAAGAGUCAUUUGUUUGGGAAUCAGGACUACACUGGUCACACUGUCUGAUUCUGAUUCACUAUAAAGAACCGGGUCUAAAGAGUCAUUUGUUUGGGAAUCAGGACUACACUGGUCACACUGUCUGAUUCUGAUUCACUAUAAAGAACCGGGUCUAAAGAGUCAUUUGUUUGGGAAUCAGACUACACUGGUCGCACUGUAUGUUACUGAUUCACUAUAAAGAACCAGGUCUAAAGAGUCAUUUGUUUGGGAAUCAGGACUACACUGGUCGCAAUGUAUGUUAUUGAUUCACUAUAAAGAACCGGGUCUAAAGAGUCAUUUGUUUGGGAAUCGGACUACACUGGUCGCACUGUAUGAUUCUGAUUCACUAUAAAGAACCGGGUCUAAAGCGUCAUUUGUUUGGGAAUUGGGACUACACUGGUCACACUGUAUGAUUCUGAUUCACUAUAAAGAACCGGAUCUAAAGAGUCAUUUGUUUGGGAAUCGGACUACACUGGUCGCACUGUAUGUUACUGAUUCACUAUAA